Molecule: ribosomal RNA, 519 nt
Filed under: uncultured bacterium
Lineage: Bacteria
Description: bacterial SSU rRNA
Rfam family: Bacterial small subunit ribosomal RNA
Source: RNAcentral
UGAGGAAUAUUGGUCAAUGGGCGAGAGCCUGAACCAGCCAAAUCGCGUGAAGGAAGACGGUAUUAUGUAUUGUAAACUUCUUUUCUGCAAGAGUAAAAAGUUCCAUGCGUGGGGCGUUGCAAGUAUUGCAGGAAUAAGCAUCGGCUAACUCCGUGCCAGCAGCCGCGGUAAUACGGAGGAUGCGAGCGUUAUCCGGAUUUAUUGGGUUUAAAGGGUGCGUAGGCGGCAUAAUAAGUCAGCGGUGAAAUUUUUCGGCUUAACCGGAAACUUGCCGUUGAAACUGUUAUACUUGAGAUUGGCGGCCGUAGGCGGAAUGUGCGGUGUAGCGGUGAAAUGCAUAGAUAUCGCGCAGAACUCCGAUUGCGAAGGCAGCUUACGACAGCGUAUCUGACGCUGAAGCACGAAAGCGUGGGUAUCAAACAGGAUUAGAUACCCUGGUAGUCCACGCUGUAAACGAUGAUUACUAACUGUUGGCGAUACACAGUCAGUGGUACAGAGAAAUCGUUAAGUAAUCCACCU